Molecule: long non-coding RNA, 349 nt
Filed under: Cricetulus griseus (Chinese hamster)
Lineage: Eukaryota; Metazoa; Chordata; Mammalia; Rodentia; Cricetidae
Description: lncRNA (ENSCGRG00015032590.1)
Source: RNAcentral
CUAACACUGGAGCUAAGUCUUGAAGGUGGGAAAGUGAGAUCAACCUCCGUAAUGGAACGAUGAUGAAUGACACCCAUGAGUGGCAGGCCCAGGAGCAGGGAAGCAUAGAGAAGCAUCUACAAUCCCUUCUGGAGUCUCCCUUCUGUGUGCUCGGACUUCAAGUCUGACAGGGCAUGUGGGUUCUGAGAUGAGCUUCUCACUUCCUGUAUCAGCAACUUGCUCCUCGUCCACCAUCCAGUCAAUACAGAGGCGUGAGAGCUGCCAAGCAGAGCAUGUAUGGACCCUAUGGAGAAAGGUGACUUUUGACUAUCAAGUAGACAGAUGAAGUCAACUAGAACAAACGAGCUUG